Long non-coding RNA from Rhineura floridana, 453 nucleotides. RefSeq lists it as uncharacterized. The transcript is spliced from 3 exons. NCBI's taxonomy places the organism in Eukaryota, Metazoa, Chordata, Lepidosauria, Squamata, Rhineuridae. The record is from RefSeq and is a predicted model, not a curated record.
GCCAGUUUGGUGCAAUGGUAAAGUGUCAGACUAAGACUGCGGAGAACAGGAUUCAAGCCAUGAAGCUUGCUUUGUACUGUACGCAUGACCAGUGAGUGGUUUGAAGGGUGCAGCAGGAGCAGCAGAAUGAAACCCACUUCAACAUGCAGCCUUGUCAAAGCAACCAGAAAGUGAAAAGAUGCAAACAACUUGAUCAUGGGGACAGCAAGGACGUGCAGUUAAUUGAUCCUUCAUAAAUUUAUAUAUGGUGUCAGAAUGAGGUGACUUGAUGGGGAGCAGGAACUCAUAAUGGUUUGUUUAAAGUAUCGUUUAUACAUGGCGGAAUUGAUUAUCUCAGAAGCGUCCAGCACUGGCAUUAUUGACCUCAAGCUGCUAAUUGUGCAAUUAUCUUUCAACUUGGGGAUGAAGUGUUGCUUGUUCUUAUGUUUGAAUUUUGAAACCUACCAUUGAACU